Molecule: long non-coding RNA, 2128 nt
Organism: Capsicum annuum
Lineage: Eukaryota; Viridiplantae; Streptophyta; Magnoliopsida; Solanales; Solanaceae
Exons: 2
Source: RefSeq, a predicted model, not a curated record
GUUACUUUCUAAAGGUUUCUUAAUUCCUUUUCAAAAUUAAGUGGCGACUCUCUUCAAAAGUCAAAUAUUUCGUAAAACAGUAGCAUUUAUACUUUUGGUUAAAUAAAAUUUACUGGUUGACCUAAAAAAAAAAACUUUAAUCGUGAUUCAUAAGUAAAUAUGUUUACUUUAAAAAAAUAAUGAAAUAGUACUUAAUGGAAGAAUCAUUAAAAUUAAGGUAAGUUGAAUCCUAUUUGUAAUCUAACUAAACUUGGAACUAAUUUGCUUGGUAAUCAAUUUAUUUCCUUCUCAAAUUUUUUCUUUUGACGUUUUCUCUCUGUCUCUCAAGAUUAUUGGUGGAGUAAUUUCUUAAGACUUUAACCCUCCAAAUGUUGUGAAUUUUGUAAUAAGAUUCUAUAAAUACAUCAAUCAUAUGAAUUAAAAAGAAAAGAAUCUACAUAAUUGCUAAUUCUCGUUGUUGUCGUAUUCGUUUAAAUCAAUAUGUAUAAUCUGUAAAUUUCUUGAUUUUGGAAUCACUUUCUUAGACAACUGAUAAUUCUCAUGUUUCACAACAAAAAUAAGGCAAUCACAGUAGGAUAUAUGUAAUAUUAUUAGUGAAAAAAAAAGAAAACGAAUAAGUAUAAUCGUAAACAUGUAGCACAAACUAUAUUUAUAUCCCCCUCCCACAAUAUAACAUUACUAUAUUUAUUCACCCUCCCACAAUAUAGCAUAAGGUAGAAAGAAGCAAUGAUAAUUGUAAAUAUUAUAUUUGGCUACAUUCAUUAUACAAUACAAUUAUAUCAAUUAUUGAGAGUUAAAAUAAGUAAAAGACUUACAAGAAGGAGGAAACGAAGCAGAAAGAACAUCACAAACCUAAUUAAGGAAAAAAUGGCGAAAGGCCCCCCAACCUUUACCCCAAAUCCCAACUACACACUUAUACUUCCUGAACUAUUUUAAAGUGGAAUAUUUACACCCCUAAAAGCUCAUUCCAGACAUUGUUUCAGGCAGUGAGCUGCACUCGUUGCCACGUUAUGUCACGUCAUUGCCACGCCAUUUUUUUCUUUUUUACUCUAAAAAAUUAAUUAUUUAACUUUGUAUAUUUUAUUUUAUAUAUUUUACUUUUCUCUUUAUAUAUUAUUUCUCCUUAAGAAAAUUUCUCUCUCUUUCUCAUUCCCCAUUUUGUUUCAUUUUCUUCUUCAACUCAAUUUCAUUUCUAUAAUCCUCAAAUCAAACAAUUCAACUCCACAAGAGCAUAAACUUAACAUUCCAAUGGCUCGUAUGUAUAUCCCGACAGUUUGGGUACAUUGUGCUGACUACCUCAGCUGGUAUCAUGGACCAUGAAGAGGCUAGGAGUAAAAAUGUUGGUGGAAAGGUUCUUGGUUUCUUUUAUUGAGUCAUAUUGACGAGGAUGAAAACUUUGAUUUUGCUGUUUGUUAACCCUUUAUAUCCACCUUUUGUUGUUUUUGCCUCUCCCAUCAAAUUAUAGUAGGAAUUUUAUUGAAAAUUUUGAGACAAUUAUCAGAUUUUGUUGAAAAAGUUUGGAGCUUGUUGACAUAAAAAAAACAAUGGCUCGUAUAAAGCUCCGUUGUUGCUGCAUUGCAAGUAGAAUGGUGGAAUAUCGACAAUUUGGUGUGUAUGUGUGGAGCAAUCAUAGUGUUUUGUUGAAGAGAAGAAAGAAAGAAAGAAGCGAGAAGAGAAAGAAGCAUCCGUGAAUGUCUACGUAAUUGUUAAUUUUGCUAUUUUAAUGAAAUUAAAGGUGACCCAUUUGGGGGGUGUGUGUUGAAAUAAUCGUUAAUUGAGGUAUUUUUAUGGAAUUGCAGAAUUUGGUGUGUAUGUGUGGAGCAAUCAUAGUGUUUUGUUGAAGAGAAGAAAGAAAGAAAGAAGCGAGAAGAGAAAGAAGCAUCCGUGAAUGUCUACGUAAUUGUUAAUUUUGCUAUUUUAAUGAAAUUAAAGGUGACCCAUUUGGGGUGUGUGUGUUGAAAUAAUAGUUAAUUGAAUUAUUUUUUUAUGGAAUUGCAGAAUUUGGUGUGUGGGUGUGGAGCAGUCAUGGUGUUUUGUUGAAGAGAAGAAAGACAAGAAAAAAAGAGAAAAAGAAAGAAGAGAGAAAAGAAGAAGCAUUCAUGGUGUUUUGUUGAAGAGGAAAGAAAGA